AACGUAGGUGGCGAGCGUUAUCCGGAUUUACUGGGCGUAAAGCGUGUGCAGAUGGGAUAGUAAGUGGUGUAUGAAAUCGCUCGGCUUAACCGGGCGGGGUUAUGCCAGACUGCUAUUCUAGAGAACGGGAGAGGGACGUGGAAUUCCGGGUGUAGUGGUGAAAUGCGUAGAGAUCCGGAGGAACCCCUGAGGCGAAGGCGGCGUCCUGGCCCGGUUCUGACAUUCAGACACGACAGCAUGGGGAGCGAACGGG
This 253-nucleotide ribosomal RNA is filed under the name uncultured bacterium. Its description in RNAcentral is "partial 16S ribosomal RNA". It matches the Rfam family "Bacterial small subunit ribosomal RNA", at positions 524 to 776 of the family's 1533-position model. The record is from RNAcentral.